GAUGAACGCUGGCGGCGUGCUUAACACAUGCAAGUCGAACGAAGCACUUUAUUUGAUUUCCUUCGGGACUGAUUAUUUUGUGACUGAGUGGCGGACGGGUGAGUAACGCGUGGGUAACCUGCCUUGUACAGGGGGAUAACAGUUGGAAACGGCUGCUAAUACCGCAUAAGCGCACGGCAUCGCAUGAUGCAGUGUGAAAAACUCCGGUGGUAUAAGAUGGACCCGCGUUGGAUUAGCUAGUUGGUGAGGUAACGGCCCACCAAGGCGACGAUCCAUAGCCGACCUGAGAGGGUGACCGGCCACAUUGGGACUGAGACACGGCCCAAACUCCUACGGGAGGCAGCAGUGGGGAAUAUUGCACAAUGGGCGAAAGCCUGAUGCAGCGACGCCGCGUGAGCGAAGAAGUAUUUCGGUAUGUAAAGCUCUACCAGCAGGGAAGAUAAUGACGGUACCUGACUAAGAAGC
This 465-nucleotide ribosomal RNA is filed under the name uncultured bacterium. Its description in RNAcentral is "bacterial SSU rRNA". It matches the Rfam family "Bacterial small subunit ribosomal RNA", at positions 28 to 491 of the family's 1533-position model. The record is from RNAcentral.